UUGUUGUGAUGACUACAACUUGGGGCACCUUUGGAGUUUAUCAUGAAAACACUACUUUGUCGGAGCAAC
Molecule: small nucleolar RNA, 69 nt
Organism: Triplophysa rosa
Lineage: Eukaryota; Metazoa; Chordata; Actinopteri; Cypriniformes; Nemacheilidae
Product: small nucleolar RNA SNORD58
Exons: 1
Source: RefSeq, a predicted model, not a curated record